UUUCCGUAGGUGAACCUGCGGAAGGAUCAUUAUAGAUUUUUCUGGAUUGUCAAUUGGGCAACCUCUUGACUCUCCGCCAAACCAAACAACGUGAACAACCGGACGCGGCCUCUCGGGGCUGUGUCCACUUUUGCAACUGUCGUCCUAUGUCAUGAAAGCAAAACAAUAGAGUACAACUCUCAACGAUGGAUCUCUUGGCUCUCGCAUCGAUGAAGAACGCAGC
This 223-nucleotide unclassified non-coding RNA is filed under the name uncultured fungus. Its description in RNAcentral is "sequence contains ITS1, 5.8S rRNA gene". The stretch from base 175 to 223 matches the Rfam family "5.8S ribosomal RNA", at positions 1 to 49 of the family's 154-position model. Lineage: Eukaryota; Fungi. The record is from RNAcentral.